GCAUAUCAAUAAGCGGAGGAAAAAGAAACUAACAAGGAUUCCCCUAGUAACUGCGAGUGAAGCGGGAAAAGCUCAAAUUUAAAAUCUGGCAGUCUUUGAUUGUCCGAGUUGUAAUCUAGAGAAGCAUUAUCCGCGCUGGACCGUGUACAAGUCUCCUGGAAUGGAGCGUCAUAGAGGGUGAGAAUCCCGUCUUUGACACGGACUGCCAGGGCUUUGUGAUGUGCUCUCAAAGAGUCGAGUUGUUUGGGAAUGCAGCUCAAAAUGGGUGGUAAAUUCCAUCUAAAGCUAAAUAUUGGCGAGAGACCGAUAGCGAACAAGUACCGUGAGGGAAAGAUGAAAAGAACUUUGGAAAGAGAGUUAAACAGUACGUGAAAUUGCUGAAAGGGAAACGCUUGAAGUCAGUCGCGUUGUCCGGGAAUCAACCUUGCUUUUGCUGGGCGUACUUCCUGGUUAACGGGUCAGCAUCAAUUUUGACCGUUGGAUAAAGUUGUUGGGAAUGUGGCUUCUUCGGAAGUGUUAUAGCCCAGUUUCGCAUACAACGGUUGGGAUUGAGGAACUCAGCACGCCGAAAGGCCGGGUUUUUAACCACGUUCGUGCUUAGGAUGCUGGCAUAAUGGCUUUAAUCGACCCGUCUUGAAACACGGACCAAGGAGUCUAACAUGCCUGCGAGUGUUUGGGUGGAAAACCCGAGCGCGUAAUGAAAGUGAAAGUUGAGAUCCCUGUCGUGGGGAGCAUCGACGCCCGGACUUGAACUUCUGUGACGGAUCCGCGGUAGAGCAUGUAUGUUGGGACCCGAAAGAUGGUGAACUAUGCCUGAAUAGGGUGAAGCCAGAGGAAAACUCUGGUGGAGGCUCGUAGCGAUUCUGACGUGCAAAUCGAUCGUCAAAUUUGGGUAUAGGGGCGAAAGACUAAUCGAACCCAUCUAGUAGCUGGGUUCCUGCCGA
This 944-nucleotide ribosomal RNA is filed under the name Panaeolus acuminatus. RNAcentral's name for it is "LSU rRNA". It matches the Rfam family "Eukaryotic large subunit ribosomal RNA", at positions 38 to 964 of the family's 3401-position model. The record is from RNAcentral. Lineage: Eukaryota; Fungi; Basidiomycota; Agaricomycetes; Agaricales.